This 472-nucleotide ribosomal RNA is filed under the name uncultured bacterium. Its description in RNAcentral is "bacterial SSU rRNA". It matches the Rfam family "Bacterial small subunit ribosomal RNA", at positions 328 to 793 of the family's 1533-position model. The record is from RNAcentral.
CGCUGUCACUCCUACGGGAGGCAGCAGUGGGGAAUAUUGCACAAUGGGCGCAAGCCUGAUGCAGCCAUGCCGCGUGUGUGAAGAAGGCCUUCGGGUUGUAAAGCACUUUCAGUCGUGAGGAAGGUAGUGUAGUUAAUAGCUGCAUUAUUUGACGUUAGCGACAGAAGAAGCACCGGCUAACUCCGUGCCAGCAGCCGCGGUAAUACGGAGGGUGCGAGCGUUAAUCGGAAUUACUGGGCGUAAAGCGCAUGCAGGUGGUUUGUUAAGUCAGAUGUGAAAGCCCGGGGCUCAACCUCGGAAUAGCAUUUGAAACUGGCAGACUAGAGUACUGUAGAGGGGGUAGAAUUUCAGGUGUAGCGGUGAAAUGCGUAGAGAUCUGAAGGAAUACCGGUGGCGAAGGCGGCCCCCUGGACAGAUACUGACACUCAGAUGCGAAAGCGUGGGGAGCAAACAGGAUUAGAUACCCUGGUAG